Molecule: long non-coding RNA, 545 nt
Organism: Pygocentrus nattereri (red-bellied piranha)
Lineage: Eukaryota; Metazoa; Chordata; Actinopteri; Characiformes; Serrasalmidae
Source: Ensembl
UGCAGGUAAGCGGAUCUCCAGGAGGAGGGUUGGGGACCACUGCUCUACAUGGCUGAGGAUCAUCAUGUUUGUGUAUGCGCUGGUCAAUUAGGGUGACCAGCUAAACGCGCACCAGACCAGCAGGGCGCGCAGUAAAAAUAUGGUUAAUAUCAUACACUGAGUUGCCAGUCCAGCUUGCCAUGCGCUCGGAAAUGUGCAGUCACUGGCCAUUUUAUCAGCGUUUUCCACGAUAGAAACUUUUCUGGAUUUACUUUUGUGCGUUUAUGAUUUUCCACCUUGAAAACGUUUGUGAUUGACAGCGACUGCUCGUGUGAUGGACAGAGCAGGGGAUGGUCCCCCUGUAGUCCAGGUGGGGGCGCUAAUUCUGUAACCGUGAUUCUCGAAGCUCAAUAAAGUGAAGGAGAUCCGCUGUGGUCAGAAGCUGCUCUGGUGAUGAAGGUGAGGAGCUGUCUGCGCUUCUGGAUGCUGGUCUGCAUUCAUCGCGAGAGAAAAUUUUCUUCACACAUUUCAGGAGGUGCUACCAAGAGGAAUAUGUCACUAAAAUG